UCUAAAAAUAAGGUGAUAAUUCUUGACAGGCUACCUGUGUCAGCAAAAGGAAAGGCAAAGACAUGGGGUGGCAGUUCCCUCCGAGUGAUGCCGUCCUGGGCUAAGUGUCAGAAUCUCUUGCAGCUCACAGCAGUUUAAUGGUACCACUUUUAUGAUGACAAUCUCUCAUCCGAAGGAAUCGUUUAACAAUACAGCCCAAAGAGCUGGAGAUGUUCACACCAUUCCUGCACCACACAAAACUCCCAGUACAACAAACUUCCUCCUGUGUUUGUUUGUCUUUCACUUUGGGAAUUUUUCUACAGUAUCACUCCAAAGAUGUCUACCAAGAGGAAAAAGUAAUUUUCUAUUCCUCAACUCCUCAACUCUCUCUCUCUUCCUGUUUCCUGCCUCCCCCCCCCCCAUCUCUCUCUCUCUCUCUCUCUCUCUCUCUCUCUCUCUCUCUCUCUCUCUCUCUCUCUCUCUCUCUCUCUCUCUCUCUCUCUCUCUCUCUCUCUCUCUAUGUAAAAGUAAGAAUAAUCCUGAGGAUUGUUAAAUAGAGUGAGACUGAUUGUAAAUGAAAAUGGAAUUAUACAAGAGUAAGAAAGAGUGAAAAGGAUGAAGUGAAAAAUGACACAGAGCAAAUGAGGGGGAGAGAGAACAAGGUAUUACUCCCUUAUCACCUUAUCUCUGACAGAUAAGAAGAAGGGGAGGUGACAAAGAGAGAAGUAUGAGACAUGACAAAAGAGGAAGGGAGAGGAAAGGAAAAUUGGGAGGAAGAGAAGUAACCAAGGAAGGAGAGUACAUGGGUGCAGCAGCCAUGUCGGAGUCUGGUGAAGCGUCCUCUGCCUCUCGAUCCCCUUCCCCUCCUGCCCCACCUGGGUCCACUGUUCGCCCUCAAGAUGAUGACGACAGGCACAGGGAUCAUUCAUCUCGUCGCUUGAGUGGGAGGCAUGGUUGCGUGAGAUUACGUAACAGUGCUGACGCACGUGGUUCCCGCGGCACUUCUCCUGCUUCUCCCCCUUGGUCAGUUGUGUUGGACGCCUUGGCUGAUUUGCGGGGUGAAGUGGAGGCCUUGAAGGCAGACAGACGGCAACUACCACCCCCUACUGGGUCGGCGCAGGUGACUGUGGAGGACAGUACUCUGGGGGGCUGGGGUUUGUCACCUCCUUGUUCUGCCACUUUUUCUGGUUUCUCGGCCAGGAUGAGUGAGGAUGAGGCAGUGUCGAUGCCUGCUGCCCCUGCUGACAGCACCUUAAUUCAGGGCACUAAGGCCUUUGGUCCUUUUGACACGGUGGUUGCUGACAUUGACAAUAGAGUGGCAGAGAUGGUAAACUUUCUCUUUGAUAAUGGUAUGAGAGAGGAGGACUACAAGGCCAUGUGUGAGGACGAUGUUGUCAAGAGGCCUAAUAACUGCCAUGCUCUUGCGCCAGUGGAAUGCAACCCACAGGUGUUGGAGGCCCUGAAGCUGGAUGCCAGGAAGACAGACUUCCGCUUGAAGGAGGUAAAUAAGGACAUCCUGUGGGCUUCAACCAUUAUCACCAAAUCCUUAGUGGCACUGGAUGAUUUGGCUGAACAGGAAGGUAACCCCAAGUUGGCACAUGAGGUGAGCAUGCUAAAUGGUGCAUUGGCAUUGCUAGGCAAUGCCAAUCACAGGAACAAUUUGGCCAGGCGUUUUGUCAUGAAACGCGAGAUAAACUAUAAAUAUGCUCAUCUUUGUUCAGAUAAGGUGCCAAUUACUCGCUUUCUGUUCGGCGACGAUGUGUCCCAGUCUGCCAGACAAAUUGAGGAAGCGGAGAAACUGCGGAGUAAGUUCUCGCAGAAAAAGCCUGCCUUUACUAGCAAGUUCGCAGGUAAACGCCCUGGUGGAUAUUGGAACAAGCCUGCUAGUAGGGGAUAUUACGCCAGGUUCCAACCCUACGGGCAACAGGGGUAUGGCUCCAGGGCUGCCCCACGACUGCCUUCCACUCGUCAGGAUGUGGAGCCAAAAAACUCCAAGGGACGGGGCGGCCGCAGCAGGCAGCCCCAGUAAACUUACAGGCAAGUGCAUGUUUUGAAGCUGGCAGACUACACUCUUUCCUGCAUGAGUGGCAUAAAAUUACCAGUGACCCUGUCAUUUUGGAUAUUGUUCAGCAUUGCCACCUUGAUAUUGAUGUCGAUAGUGUUCAUCCUUUAUUUUUUAAUGAUUUGGAAUACAGGUUCAACACUGUGCAACAGGGGAUAAUUUCUGGAGAGAUCAAAAAACUUUUACAGCUUAAAGUCAUUAAAGUCACACACAAACAAACUCAGCAGGUUAUCUCUCCUAUUUUUUUGUGAGAAAAGAAAAACGGGGAAUUUCGCCUGGUUCUUAACUUGGAGAGGUUAAACAAAUACAUACCAUAUAAACAUUUUAAAAUGGAAAAUUUUGAACAGGCCAUCAGGCUCAUCAACUAGGGUGAUUUUUUGGCUUCUGUCGAUCUCAGGCAUGCUUAUUAUUCUGUUAGGGUUGCAGAUGAGCAACAACGAUUUUUAUGUUUUACAUGGCAAGGUGUUAUCCAUCAAUUCACCUGCCUCCCUAAUGGCAUUUCUGAGGGACCUCGGCUUUUCACCAAACUGAUGAAGCCAGUAUUUGCUACUCUAAGGCAGGAAGGAUACACUAUCACCAGCUUUAUAGAUGACACAUUAAUUUGCAGUAACUCUUACUCAGGAUGUCUUCAGGCGAUUCAGGCCACCAUUUCUCUGUUGCAGAGGUUAGGCUUUUGUAUCAAUAUGGAGAAGUCUGUUCUCACCCCCACACAAUGUAUUGAAUACCUAGGCAAUGUUAUUAACACCAAGUUCAUGACUGCCUCUUUACCUGAGCGUAGACUAAUCAAAAUUCGCUAAGGAUGUGCAGAACUUUUGUGUAAAGAUGUUGCCCCCAUUCGAGAGGUGGCCAGGGUGAUCGGCCUCAUGGUGGCUGCGAUCCCAGCAGUGGAGUUAGGUAAACUUCACUACAGGAAGUUGGAGGGGGGAAAAAUUGCCGCUUUGAAACAGGAGUACGGUAAUUUUGACAGGCCUUUGAAUAUUACUGCAGACAUGAAACUAGACCUUUCCCGGUGAUUAGACAAUGUGGACAGACACCACAGACACAUUUUUAGGCCAGGUACUGACAUCGAUUUAUUUACUGAUGCCUCCAGCCUUGGUUGGGGGGGUCAUUUGGGGUGUCAGAUUACAAGUGGUACUUGGUCCCUGGAUGAAAAGGAGCUUCACAUUAACAUCCUGGAGAUGAAAGCCAUUCUAUUCUCUUUGCAAGCAUUUGAACAUGAGCUGGAAGGUAGACAUGUUAGAGUUUUUUGUGAUAAUACCACUGCCAUAAACUAUGUCAAUGAAAUGGGAGGCACAAAGUCCAAGUCCUGUAAUGAUGUUGCUACCCAGAUUUGGGAUUGGUGUCUGGAACAUGACUCAUGGGUUACAUGCUCGCACAUACCGGGGAAGGACAACACCUUGGCUGAUGUAGCCUCUCACAAGAUUAAUGACAGACAUGAGUGGAAACUCGACUCACACAUUUUUACUACCUUGUGUAAUGUUUUUGGGACACCGUCCAUUGAUUUAUUUGCCUCAAGGCUUAACAAACAGGUUAAUACAUUCUGUUCGUGGUUGCCAGAUCCGGAGGCUAAAUAUUUUGAUGCUUUUUCCUUGGACUGGUCAAACUUUGAUUUGUCUUACAUUUUCCCCCCAUUCUCAUUAAUUGCUAGGUGCCUUCAGAAGUUACGUGCGGAGCAAGCACGAGGCUGGAUGGUGGUUCCUCUGUGGCCGUCCCAGUUUUGGAUGGGCAUGCUGCUCCAGUUGCUAAUAGACUUCCCACGUUUGAUAACGAACAGGAGGAAUGUUCUAACACACCCGUCCACAACAGAUCCACACCCCAUCAUGUCCCACACGAGGCUCAUGGCAUGCCUUCUGUCAGGGAAAAAUUGCAGAAACGAGGAGUUUCGCCGGCUGCUGCGGACAUCAUACUUGCCUCCUGGAAACCAGGUACUGAGAGGCAAUACCGCCCACAUGUCCAGAGGUGGUCGUUGUUUUGUGGUAGACGGAAUGUCGAUCCCAUUUCUCCAACUGUAGGUCACAUUGUAAAUUUUUUGACGGAAACCUUUGACAGGGGUGUGGGUUAUGAGUGUGUGAACACUGCGAGGGGUGCCCUGUCUUCUCUCGGCAUUGUGGUGGACGGAUGCAGGGCAGGAAAUCACCCUUUGGUCAUCCGAUUCAUGAGAGGGGUUUUCAAUCUUAGAACUCCUCAGCCCAGGUACACUGACACUUGGGACGUCCAACCUGUCUUAGAGCAACUAAGGUCCAUGUUCCCCUUACAUGCAUUAACCCUUAAAGAAUUAACGCUAAAAUUGGUUAUGAUGAUGGCCUUAACUCAAGCUGCCAGAAUUCAAACUUUACAACUACUGUUAAUCAGAGACAUGCUCAUUAAUGAACACUCCAUUUCAGUACAGUUGGGGGGCACUCUUAAACAAUCCAGACCAAAUUUUAACAUCAACAGGGUCACAUUCCAUCGUUACCCUAAGGAUCCACGAUUAUGUGUCUGUAGCACUCUCCUGAGGUACAUUGAUGUGACUAAAGAGCUUAGACAGGAUGAGAUGCACACUGAUACCAGGCUCCUCAUUAGCUUCAUAAAACCCCACAAAUCAGUUUCCAAAGACACUAUUGCCCGUUGGGUCAGGACCAUUCUCCGCAUGUCCGGCAUAGACAUCUCAAAGUUUUCCGCUGGUAGUGUGUGGCCAGCAGCAGCUUCAAAAGCUGGAGUGGCGGCUGUCCCUGUUGCAUGCAUUAUGGCUAAGGUGGGCUGGUCUAGGGAAUCUACCUUUGCAAAAUAUUAUAAUAAGAACAUUGUGGCUGCUUCUGACCUCUUUCAGGAUGCAGUGCUAGAAUAAGACAUGAUUUGGGUUUGUUGCUGCACUCCAGUGUUGCAGUACACGGAUAUUUUAAGUAUUUAGUAUCUAGUACCUUAGGUUUACCUUAUGAUGUGAACUGUUACCAUAUUUCAACAUUGUUUGUAGAUUGGAUUAAGUUGGAUGCAAUGUACCUUAUUUUAUACACCAAUUGUAUGAUUGUCUCAUGUACAAGAUCCUUCCAUGGAAUAAUAGUUAUAGUACUGUUUCUUGUGGGGUAUUUCCUUUUCCUCUCUACUAUUGCAUCCUCCCUCGUCAUCCACAUGGCUUCAAAGCCUCAUGGGAAAUGUCUGCCCAGCAGAUAGGUGAUUUUGCCGAAGUAAAAUUAACAAAGU
Molecule: RNA transcript, 5221 nt
Organism: Scylla paramamosain (green mud crab)
Lineage: Eukaryota; Metazoa; Arthropoda; Malacostraca; Decapoda; Portunidae
Exons: 3
Source: RefSeq, a predicted model, not a curated record